GAUGAACGCUGGCGGCGUGCUUAACACAUGCAAGUCGAACGGAAAGGCUCCUGCUUGCAUUGGUACUCGAGUGGCGAACGGGUGAGUAUCACGUGGGUGAUCUGCCCUGCACUUCGGGAUAUGCCUGGGAAACUUGGUUUAAUACCGGAUAUGACCACAUUCUGCACGUUGUGGUGUAAAGAUUUUCGGUGUGGGAUGAGCUCGCGGCCUAUCAGCUUGUUGGUGGGGUAAUGGCCUACUAAGGCGUCGACGGGUAGCCGGCCUGAGGGGGUGUACGGCCACAUUGGGACUGAGAUACGGCCCAGAAGCCUACGGGAGGCAGCAGUGGGGACUAUUGCACAAUGGGCGCAAGCGUGCUGCAGCGGCGCCGGGUGGGGGAUGACGGCCUUCGGGUGGUAAACUCCUUUCGCAAGGAACGAAGCGAAAGUGACAGUACCUGGAGAAGAAGCACCGGCUAACUACGUG
Molecule: ribosomal RNA, 465 nt
Filed under: uncultured bacterium
Lineage: Bacteria
Description: partial 16S ribosomal RNA
Rfam family: Bacterial small subunit ribosomal RNA
Source: RNAcentral